Long non-coding RNA from Lycium ferocissimum, 2320 nucleotides. RefSeq lists it as uncharacterized. NCBI's taxonomy places the organism in Eukaryota, Viridiplantae, Streptophyta, Magnoliopsida, Solanales, Solanaceae. The record is from RefSeq and is a predicted model, not a curated record. The transcript has 3 exons.
UUGUUGGUAAUUAGAAUUCGGGUCUUCAUUCAUCAAAGUUUAUCAAGUAUCUUGUGUAAGCUCUCUAUCUAGGCGAGUUAUUUGUGCAAUUUUUAUUUAUUUAAUGCACUUUCUUUGUAUGUACUCACAAUUUGGUUUGCAUAUUUUAACUUUCUAUUUUAUGUGAAUAGUAUCUUGGUAGAAUCUUUACAUGCAUCAGAAUAAUUGUGCCUGAUUUGCCAUGCAUAUGUGGUUUUGAUGAAGUUUGUCAUUUGCUACCAACUAAGUUGCAGAAUUAAACCGUCUUACCAAAAAUCUGAGAUACCAAAAUUGUUGUUGGAAAAUUGGGUCUCUCGAUUUGCCCUAUACUUUUUCUUUUAAAUCUAUUUUAAUCUUCUUCAUUGUUUACUUCCUGGAAUUUUGAAGUGGACUAUGCAGCCAAUUUGUUUGAUAAUAUGUCUGACUAAUCUUAUUUGGGGUGAGUGUCUUAUUGAGUUUGUGUUUUUUAGUCAUUAACCAGAUUUCUGUACCUUUUUCUUUUGGUUUUGCUUGUUCUCUGUGUUUCAUGUUAUUUGUGUGCAUGUACAAUAUCUAUUUAUUAUACACUCUCCAAAAUACCUGUGCAUGAUCGGCGAGAUACAAUCAAAAAGCCUAAAGGGAGGGCAAAAAAUUUGUGUGCUAGCAGUAAUAAAGGAAUUCAAGGUAUGAAAUUGAUGUAGGGAGCAUUACUUUGGACCAAUGCAAGCAGGAAUAACUUCUUCUGGCAUGUCAUAAUUUACUAAGAGACGUAUUCAAGCUAUAUGAUUAUGAUAUAUGGUUUGCCAACGAUUAGUGGUUUCACAAAGGUUUGAAUAGGACUUGGAGUGCACUGUCAGUGUGUAUUAUUGCUAAUGAGAAUGAAUGGGACGUUUAUGGGGUCGUCCUGCAGGUUGAUGCAAUUGUGAAGAUUAUUUGGUUACACAUGGCUACCUUGUGAGCUACAAGAUGAAGAUGAAAUGACCGUAAAAUAUGCUGAAGAGGCUCAUCAAGUCAUGUUGAGGUAGUUUAGAAAGCAUCUCAAGUAUGUUUUUCUCAUUGUGAUUAUCUUCUGUUCUGUUUUAAAUAGGUUCUGAAUAUAAACUUAAGUUACUUACUGGGUUGUGUUUCUUGGUGUUGGUAACUUAACUCAUUUACUAUUAUGCACAUAUAAUUAACUUAGUCUUGCAUGUGUGGACCUUUAAUGCGUUUUGCAUAGAUCCUUACAUUCUUUCGCAUUUGAAACCAGCUUGACCAGAGAUGAUACGUACUUGACCUUGAUGGUUAUUGGUACAUGUAUAUACAACUUAUCCACUUACAUAAAACAAAUGCUUAUCAGAAUUCAAUAUACAAAUGCUAAUUUUAAAGUACUUCAAACUGUAAAACUAAAAUUUCAAGUGUGUUCUUUCUUUAAUGGAAAGUAAAAAGUACCUCUCAUUUCCUUCGUUUCUUCUUUUUAUAGAUAUUUUUGAACAUUAAAACCAUAUACUGGGAAAAUGUGGCAUAUAAAGUAUUUGAACUAUUAAGGUAUGUUUUUUAAAUUUUGUGAGUUGAAUUUACAGAAGGGAAAUUUGAAUAGCAAGAGGAAGGCGAAAAGAAACUAAAGAGAAUGAAGAAAGAUGUGAAAGGGUGUAUUUCUACUUCUUUGUCACUUGAAGUGGUCUGUUGCAAGCGAUAGUAGUUUUUUAUAUGUUAAUAUCAUUAAUUAUGUUCUCUAUCUAGAAGUCAAUGAUUCAUUUGCAUUCAUUUUGCUUCUUCUAGACUGGUUUUUAAAGCUAAAAGAACAAAAAGCUGGCUCCUCCUGCUCAAAAGUUGAUGGAGAAUGUGGUUCCCUCUAAGUUCUUUUUAAAAGUUUCUUUACUUGAGAGGUUUCUUCCGUGCUAUCAUAUUUAGCACUUGGUUGACGUUUACAUAUAACUGGACUCCUGAACCGGUUUGUGGUACUAGCAUAAAGAAUUUUAGAUGUCCUGGCUUGCAACAUUAUGUGAUAUGAGCUUUCAGAGUCUCUUCGCUGGAGCUUUAGUGGCGAUGACACAGAAAAUAAUUCAGGUGUACACAAAGACGGAUUGAUGGAGGAGGAAGAUCUGUGUGAGGCUCAAAAGAAAUUCAUUUGCUCAGCUGCCGUUACUACUUUGAGUAUAUUUGGAGACCUCGGACAGUGGUACACGACGACUACAAACACAACUUAAGGCUCUACAACUUUCAAGAUGGAGGAGAAACAAAAAAUAGUCUGUGGUCCUUCAAUUCUCGAACUACCUAAGUUUAGGCAUUGUUGGUCUUUUGAACAUUUUACUAAUAAAAUAUUAUAUUAGAGUGUUGCCUUGUU